UGAGGAAUAUUGGACAAUGGGCGAAAGCCUGAUCCAGCCAUGCCGCGUGAGUGACGAAGGCCUUAGGGUUGUAAAGCUCUUUUGGCGGGGAAGAUAAUGACGGUACCCGCAGAAUAAGCUCCGGCUAACUUCGUGCCAGCAGCCGCGGUAAUACGAAGGGAGCUAGCGUUGUUCGGAAUCACUGGGCGUAAAGCGCACGUAGGCGGAUUGUUUAGUCAGGGGUGAAAUCCCGGAGCUCAACUUCGGAACUGCCUUUGAUACUGGCAAUCUCGAGUCCGAUAGAGGUGGGUGGAAUUCCUAGUGUAGAGGUGAAAUUCGUAGAUAUUAGGAAGAACACCGGUGGCGAAGGCGGCCCACUGGAUCGGUACUGACGCUGAGGCGCGAAAGCCAGGGGAGCAAACGGGAUUAGAUACCCUAGUAGUCCCUGAGCGGGCUGGCAAGGCGCAU
This 447-nucleotide ribosomal RNA is filed under the name uncultured bacterium. RNAcentral's name for it is "bacterial SSU rRNA". It matches the Rfam family "Bacterial small subunit ribosomal RNA", at positions 355 to 825 of the family's 1533-position model. The record is from RNAcentral.